AGUGAACGCUGGCGGUAGGCCUAACACAUGCAAGUCGAACGGCAGCACAGUAAGAGCUUGCUCUUACGGGUGGCGAGUGGCGGACGGGUGAGGAAUACAUCGGAAUCUACUUUUUCGUGGGGGAUAACGUAGGGAAACUUACGCUAAUACCGCAUACGACCUACGGGUGAAAGCAGGGGAUCUUCGGACCUUGCGCGAUUGAAUGAGCCGAUGUCGGAUUAGCUAGUUGGCGGGGUAAAGGCCCACCAAGGCGACGAUCCGUAGCUGGUCUGAGAGGAUGAUCAGCCACACUGGAACUGAGACACGGUCCAGACUACUACGGGAGGCAGCAGUGGGGAAUAUUGGACAAUGGGCGCAAGCCUGAUCCAGCCAUACCGAGUGGGUGAAGAAGGCCUUCGGGUUGUAAAGCCCUUUUGUUGGGAAAGAAAAGCAGCAGGUUAAUACCCCGCUGUUCUGACGGUACCCAAAGAAUAAGCACCGGCUAACUUCGUG
RNAcentral lists this ribosomal RNA (492 nucleotides) under uncultured bacterium. RNAcentral describes it as "partial 16S ribosomal RNA". It matches the Rfam family "Bacterial small subunit ribosomal RNA", at positions 29 to 507 of the family's 1533-position model. The record is from RNAcentral.